RNAcentral lists this long non-coding RNA (249 nucleotides) under Hordeum vulgare. Its description in RNAcentral is "long non-coding RNA (HVUL_LNC001467)". The record is from RNAcentral. Lineage: Eukaryota; Viridiplantae; Streptophyta; Magnoliopsida; Poales; Poaceae.
GACAAUGUUAUCUUGGCCAGAUGCGUAUAUCUUGGAGAAGAAGCCGGGAGAGAGUAAACAACAUGGAUUUGUGCAUUAAGGCGGGCACGGGAUCGGAUAGAAGACAGAAAAAAGGACCCACUACGUCGCACAUGUGCGCUCCCGUGCGACGGCACGUUACCAGCCUGACCUGUCCUUUUUUCAUCUCUUUCCCGGAUCCCAACAGCUUCUCUUUUGUCAGAUGCACCUGUUUUUAUAAAUGUCCCUUCC